UACGUAGGUGGCAAGCGUUGUCCGGAAUUACUGGGCGUAAAGAGCGCGUAGGCGGGUACUUAAGUCAGGGGUGAAAACUAACGGCUCAACCGUUAGCCUGCCUCUGAAACUGGGUACCUUGAGGGUAUGAGAGGAAAGCGGAAUUCCUAGUGUAGCGGUGAAAUGCGUAGAUAUUAGGAGGAACACCAGUGGCGAAGGCGGCUUUCUGGCAUACAACUGACGCUGAGGCGCGAAAGCGUGGGGAGCAAACGGG
RNAcentral lists this ribosomal RNA (253 nucleotides) under uncultured bacterium. RNAcentral's name for it is "partial 16S ribosomal RNA". It matches the Rfam family "Bacterial small subunit ribosomal RNA", at positions 524 to 776 of the family's 1533-position model. The record is from RNAcentral.